Molecule: long non-coding RNA, 2369 nt
Organism: Strigops habroptila (Kakapo)
Lineage: Eukaryota; Metazoa; Chordata; Aves; Psittaciformes; Psittacidae
Exons: 4
Source: RefSeq, a predicted model, not a curated record
AAACUGAUACUAACCCAAGGAAAUGAAAACAGCAGUUUUCCGUCUCUGAAACCUGCAAUAAAGUCCUUCAAUGUGUUAAAAUAACUCUGGUACCAGGAAGAGUCUAAUCUUACCAGGAUGAGGUCAAAAAGUGCUAUUUUACCCUAAAGCAGGAUAUUCUACUCAAGCAAUAGAUGAAAUUAAUCUCUCCUGAUCUCUCUAUUGUGACUGCUGGAUGGCUUCCAAGGCUCAAGCAGGCUUGUGUAGCAUUAGCUCAAGUACUUCAGGAUUCCUGUGGUCUGAAAAAAAGACAUAACCUAUAAAUGCCGCUUUAGUUCUUCAUUCAUGGUGCUGGCAGUACUGUAACGAGGCAAAGGACAGAAAGCAGUGGUGUUGCAUUUGCUGAGCCUUUCAGAAGGACUCAAACUAAGUGCAGUUGCCCUUGGUUUUGAGUUGGUUACAGUUCAUCAGUGCCAGACUUUACCCUCUCUAGAACAGAGACACUGACAGUUGUCCUAAAUCAUCAAGUAUUUUCAUGAUAAUGUAAAAAAAAAACCCAAAUGAAAAAAAAAAAAAAUCAACAAAAAGUGACCAACCACCACCCCCCCCAAAAAAAAAAAAAAAACCACAAAAAAAAAACACCAAAAAAAACAAACAAAAAAAACAACUACCUGGGUUGUGACUACUGUGUACGUUUUAAUUCCACAGGCACAAGAUUCUCAGACCCACUGUGAUUCCUGAGUUUCCUACUUCACAAUUAAUUGAAAUGGAAUAUGGAUUUGUAUUCUCUGAAUGAGAACAGCACCUCUUCAGUACUUACUUUAAGAGAGACAACAUGAGACAUGAAUUCUGAAUAAAACUGACAUCCGUCCAAUGUGUAAUAUACUGAACAGAAAGUUUACUGAAAAAUCUUAAAUAUUUCCUCCUCCAGCACAAACCCACUGUAUUACUACACUACGCAAGCUAUUUGCUUUCUCCUGCUUGAGAGUUUAGGCUGUUUGGAGAGUCUGCAAGUGAAUCUUAUCCCACAGAAGAUUUUUGUAGCCAUGUUAUACUACUACCAAAAAGAUUUUAACCAACUGAGGAGCCACUACAAUGAAUCUUCACUGGAAUGAAACUUGCUUUUCUGAAAGUUUCCCACUUGGCAGGACUCAGGAAGGGCUCAUCUUGUAUAGUACAUGACUUGGAUCAUAUUGAAGGGGAAGGCUAAGGACCAGCAGCAGAUGCAGGAGCAUUACUUAAUAAAUUGCUAAUCCAUCCUCAUUAACAAAGAAGUCCUUCCAGAAUGGAUAUUAAGACAAAGAGCUGUUGGCAUUUGUGCAGACUUAAGGGAACAUCUGUGUUUGUGAUGGAAGAAGAUUCACUGUGUGAUAAUAGAAACAAAGCCUCAAAGAAAAAUCCUUUCACUCCUAAAAGGUUUUCUCAAAACAUCGCACCCAAGAGGCGUAUAAAAAGUACCAUGAGACCAGUGAACACAAUAUAUGAACUUAACAAAAACCAGCAUGUGUUCAAGUGUUCUGGCAGGAAAGAGAAGCUCAUUACCACAGUAUCUGAGAAAGUCUAUGUUGCUUAUGGAAUUUGAGUUUUUUCUUCUAACUUUUGGUCUCAAACACUUUACCUCCACAACCUCGAGAUAACAUUUAAUUCAGCAGCAAAAUAAGGCUUACACAUUUUUAUCAUGAGGGCCUUGGAAGAAAGGACUAUUUGAAAUAUAUAUUAUGAUUUUGUUAGUAUUUACUUAAUGAUUGUAAACUGUAUUUUGUAUUUUGCAUUGUUUUUAUAAUACUUUUGCACUGAGAAGCACACACAGAAGCCCCCAAUGCCAAACAAGCGAAAAUCCAAGAUUCUUACUCUGUAAAAAUGGGUUAAGAAGGGAUCUUCUCUUGAAGAUGUGAAUGUUCUGUGCUCUUUUCUAAAAACCAGCCUAUAAAUGGUUAAUGUAAGGGCUGUGUGUCUGAUCAUCCACUCAAGUCAGGGGCAAAAAUGUGAUUUUAUUCAUCAUUUUAGUGUUCCUCCUGUUCAGCUGAAUCACAUCAAUUCAGAAUACUCAAAAGCUCGAUAGCUGUGUCUCUUCCUUUUGAGACUAAAAAGCUAUUAUGAGAAAAUUUGUUCUGUUGAAAAAGUUGAGGGUGCUAAUGGAUUAUUAAAUGUCUGGGUUAACCUUACUAGAGAUGUUUUCAUUGGGAUAACUCAAUUUAAUAUGGUAUAAUAGAAUUUUCUAGUAUAUGUUAAAGCCCAAACGGUGAUGUGUAAAAGCAAAGAUGAAAGUCCCUUUGACAAAUCUGCUUGAAAGCUGAUUAUUUGAAAUUGCUGUAACCUUAUAACUGCUUCUUCCAGUGAUGAGAUAAUGACAUAAUUUAGAAGUGGGUGGCUUAGUGAUAUAUGUUUCA